Molecule: long non-coding RNA, 463 nt
Organism: Salarias fasciatus (jewelled blenny)
Lineage: Eukaryota; Metazoa; Chordata; Actinopteri; Blenniiformes; Blenniidae
Exons: 3
Source: RefSeq, a predicted model, not a curated record
CUGGUUUAAACUCAGAGGCUCUGAGAGUCCCACAGCUCCAUCGGGGGACCGCCAGCGUUAACGGCAGCCUCGUUCCCUCCGAGAGAGACCAAACCAUCCAACGACGUCGAAAGUUGCCUACUUCAAGAGGAAAUAUGCGGAGGAGGAGGAUUUACACGCAGGCCUACGUGGAUAUUUUCAAAAACACCUGAGACUGCAGGAGGACCGCAGCUGCAUCCUGAAGCUGUCUCUGGAGAAGCUGCGCUUCCUGGAGGACCCCGAGGCGUACCUGCGGCGCUCCGUCCUCAUCAACAACCUGCUGAGGAAGAUCCACCAUGAGGAGGAGGAGGAGGAGGAGGAGGAGGAUGUAGAGGAGGAGGAAGAGGAGGAGGAGGAGGAGGAGGAGGAGGCGGCUGUCGAAGAGGCGGGGCAGCAGGCGCUGGCGUACCCGGACAGGAAGCGGCUGAAGGUGCUGGUGACGGAC